CUCUUAGGAUCAGUGGCAGAGAAGACAGUAUAGACAAGAACAAAGGUACCAAUGAUCUCAGCACCCAAACCAGUGCCCUUGCUGUACCCAGAAGAGAGUUCGUUGGCCCCACCUCCAUACCUGGUGUAAUAAGCCUUUUGGAAGGCCUUGACCAAACCACACCCACAUAUUGCACCCAGGCACUGUGCUACCAUGUACAAAAGGGCCCUGAUUAGUGACACCUUGCGUCCCAGGAACAGCCCGAAGGUCACAGCUGGGUUAAUAUGUCCUCCAGAGAUACCAGCAGUGCAGUA
RNAcentral lists this unclassified non-coding RNA (293 nucleotides) under Hevea brasiliensis (rubber tree). The record is from RNAcentral. Lineage: Eukaryota; Viridiplantae; Streptophyta; Magnoliopsida; Malpighiales; Euphorbiaceae.